RNAcentral lists this ribosomal RNA (430 nucleotides) under uncultured bacterium. RNAcentral's name for it is "bacterial SSU rRNA". It matches the Rfam family "Bacterial small subunit ribosomal RNA", at positions 354 to 776 of the family's 1533-position model. The record is from RNAcentral.
GUGGGGAAUAUUGCACAAUGGGCGCAAGCCUGAUGCAGCAAUGCCGCGUGUGUGAAGAAGGCCUGCGGGUUGUAAAGCACUUUCAGUAGGGAGGAAAGGGUUAAGGUUAAUAGCCUUGAUCUGUGACGUUACCUACAGAAGAAGCACCGGCUAACUCCGUGCCAGCAGCCGCGGUAAUACGGAGGGUGCGAGCGUUAAUCGGAAUUACUGGGCGUAAAGCGCGCGUAGGCGGCUUGGUCAGUCGGAUGUGAAAGCCCCGGGCUCAACCUGGGAAUUGCAUUCGAUACUGCCAGGCUAGAGUAUGUUAGAGGAAAGUGGAAUUCCCGGUGUAGCGGUGAAAUGCGUAGAUAUCGGGAGGAACAUCAGUGGCGAAGGCGACUUUCUGGAUCAAUACUGACGCUGAGGUGCGAAAGCGUGGGGAGCAAACAGG